RNAcentral lists this ribosomal RNA (344 nucleotides) under uncultured bacterium. RNAcentral describes it as "bacterial SSU rRNA". It matches the Rfam family "Bacterial small subunit ribosomal RNA", at positions 28 to 355 of the family's 1533-position model. The record is from RNAcentral.
GACGAACGCUGGCGGCGUGCCUAACACAUGCAAGUCGUGCGAGAAAGUUCCUUCGGGAGCGAGUAAAGCGGCGCACGGGUGAGUAACACGUAGGUAACCUGCCCCCCAGUCUGGAACAACUAGAGGAAACUCUAGCUAAUGCCGGAUGAGACCACGAUCCCGUUCGGGGGUUGCGGCCAAAGAUGGCCUCUACUUGUAAGCUAUCGCUGAGGGAUGGGCCUGCGGGCCAUUAGCUUGUGGUGAGGUAACGGCUCACCAAGGCUGUGAUGGCUAGCUGGUCUGAGAGGAUGACCAGCCACACUGGGACUGAGACACGGCCCAGACUCCGUACGGGAGGCAGCAGU